This 646-nucleotide ribosomal RNA is filed under the name Empecamenta sp. DA1593. Its description in RNAcentral is "eukaryotic LSU rRNA". It matches the Rfam family "Eukaryotic large subunit ribosomal RNA", at positions 663 to 1265 of the family's 3401-position model. Lineage: Eukaryota; Metazoa; Arthropoda; Insecta; Coleoptera; Scarabaeidae. The record is from RNAcentral.
GGACCAAGGAGUCUAGCAUGUGCGCGAGUCAUUGGGACUCUAACUAAACCUAAAGGCGCAAUGAAAGUGAAGGUCCGCCGUGCGCGGACCGAGGGAGGAUGGACGGUCUCGAGAGACCGCCCCGCACUCCCGGGGCGUCUCGUUCUCACUUACGAGAAGAGGCGCACCCAGAGCGUACACGCUGGGACCCGAAAGAUGGUGAACUAUGCCUGGUCAGGACGAAGUCAGGGGAAACCCUGAUGGAGGUCCGUAGCGAUUCUGACGUGCAAAUCGAUCGUCGGAACUGGGUAUAGGGGCGAAAGACUAAUCGAACCAUCUAGUAGCUGGUUCCCUCCGAAGUUUCCCUCAGGAUAGCUGGCGCUCGCUUCUCGCGAGUCUCAUUCGGUAAAGCGAAUGAUUAGAGGCAUUGGGGUCGAAACGGCCUCAACCUAUUCUCAAACUUUAAAUGGGUGAGAUCUCCGGCUUGCUUGAACUGUGAAGCCGCGAGAUAUCGGAUCAGAGUGCCAAGUGGGCCACUUUUGGUAAGCAGAACUGGCGCUGUGGGAUGAACCAAACGCCGAGUUAAAGCGCCUAAAUCGACGCUUAUGGGAUACCAUGAAAGGCGUUGGUAACUUAAGACAGCAGGACGGUGGCCAUGGAAGUCGGA